RNAcentral lists this unclassified non-coding RNA (224 nucleotides) under fungal sp. RNAcentral describes it as "partial internal transcribed spacer region". The stretch from base 1 to 46 matches the Rfam family "Eukaryotic small subunit ribosomal RNA", at positions 1786 to 1831 of the family's 1831-position model. The record is from RNAcentral. Lineage: Eukaryota; Fungi.
AAGUCGUAACAAGGUCUCCGUUGGUGAACCAGCGGAGGGAUCAUUACAGAGUGUAAAAACUCCCAACCCAUGUGAACAUACCUAUCGUUGCCUCGGCAGGUCGCCCGCCCUACCCUGUAGGACCGGGUGCUCCCUGCCGAUGGCCCGCGAAACUCGUUUUAUUUUGGAACUCUGAAUAAUCAUACAAUAAGUUAAAACUUUCAACAACGGAUCUCUUGGUUCUG